CAGUAUUAAUGAACAUAUUUGUAAGAUCCGAUCCAAUCCAAUCUUACAAAUUUUGUGCAAAUUGGAUAUGUUGUAAUUUUAUUUUUUGCAAAUUAGUAGAGAGUAAAUCCUCAUUUAAGAAAAUCAGUAUAUUAUCUUUUUAUUUUAUUUUUUCCCAUGCCCGAAUCUUGGUCUUCAGCAAACGUCACACGUGAACAACCGGUCAAGACGGCACGUUUUAGUGGAUAUCUAGAUGAUAGGAAAAUUAAAUACGUACACCUGCAAUACCGUAAAUCAAUGGAUGGCGUGAUUUCUUUUCGUAAACGGCAAUGUCCAUAUCACGAUCGACACGUACGACCGGUCAAGACGACGUGCUUUAGUGGAUAUCUGGAUGAUAUGGGAGUUAAAAGUGUAUUACAUGUGCCAUACCGUUAAUUAACGAAUGACGUGAUUUCUUUUCAAAAACGACAAUGUCCAUACCAUGAUCGACACGUAGGGGUGGUCGAUUUAGUCAUAGGUUGUGUGAUCCGAUGAUAAAACACGAAGCAUGUGACACACUCAGCAUUAUCAUGUAUAGUAAUUUUCAUAUCUUUUUAAUACAUUGUAUUUAUUUUCCUUUCUAAUCGGCGCGUAAGGGCAGUCGUUCCGAGCCACAGAUGGCUUGACCCGACGACAAAACACGAAGCGCGUGAUACACGCAGCAUUAUCAUACCGAGUAAUUUUCAUCUCUUUUUUCUAUAAAUGUCAUAUCUUGUCCAAUUAAUGCAGCACAUUGUAUUUUUUUUCCUUUUCUAUGUGCACCACCGAAAGAACAUUGUUUUUUCGUUUCUAUCUGCACCGAAAAGAGAGAAGGAAAGGAAAACCAGAAGAAAAGAAAUCCCCAAGAUAGAGAUGCCAAAUCAUUUCCAUGUGGAUCUUGC
RNAcentral lists this long non-coding RNA (899 nucleotides) under Brachypodium distachyon (stiff brome). RNAcentral describes it as "long non-coding RNA (BDIS_LNC005697)". Lineage: Eukaryota; Viridiplantae; Streptophyta; Magnoliopsida; Poales; Poaceae. The record is from RNAcentral.